UACUAAUGCAACUGCGAAUAGCUGUUUAAUACAGUCGUAAUUGUAUUGACUUAGUAUAAUGUUAAUAAUAGUUAUUUAUAGGAUAACUAAGGGAAAGUUUGGCUAAUACGUUUUAACAGUAUUAUAAUUCUUAAUACACAUAUAAUAAUAUUAUAAUAUGAUAAAUAUUAUAUAAAUAUUUUAAUACAUUUAUUUGUAUUAAUAUAUAGAGUUGACUUUAUAAUAUUUAUUUAUUAUAAAGCAUGUCAAACAAGCAUCUAUAGCAUCAAGUCACAAUGUUGGCAUGUGUAUUAUUGAACCUUCAAAGCAUUUACGCAUUCGGAGGAGUAGUUUCUGAUCCCGUCGAAGGUGCCUGAGAGACGGCACUUAGUUCUAAGGAACGCAGCAGGCGCGUAAAUUGCCCAAUGACAAAACAUGUUAUAAUAAAAUAUAUAAUGUAUAUAUAUUGAAUACUCAAUAUUUAAUUGAGGCAGUGACAAGCUGUAAAGAUUGAAUAUAUUAAUUAAGAUAACAUUUGGAAUUGUCGUUUUAUAAUAUUUUUUAAUAUUAUAUUACUUGAUAAUAUACCAAUGUUAUAAAAUAUUCAAUUUGAAUGCGGUGAAUGUAAUAAUUUCAAGUAACAUGUAUAAAAUAUUUAUAUUUUAUUAGUUAUCUGAAUUUUCAAGUGGAGGGCAAGUCUGGUGCCAGCAGCCGCGGUAAUACCAGCUCCACUAGCUUAUACAAUCAUUGUUGCGGUUAAGAGGCUCGUAGUUGGAUUGAAUAAAACAUAUAUACACAAUACUGUGAACAAACCAGAGUGUAUAAAACAUGUAAUAUAUUAUAUAUUUAGCAAUGAAUGUUUUAUCAUGGAAUAUUGCUAUAAUGAAUAUUAAUAUCGAUGGAGAUAGUUGGAGUUAAGAGUACUGAUAGGCGAGCGGUGAAAUGCAUUGACCCUAUUAAGACUAACAAAAGCGAAAGCACUUAACUAGAUUAUUCUCUUUGUAUUAUUUUACAAUGAAGAGCGAAGGUUGGGGGAACAAAGAGGAUCAGAUACCCUCGUAGUCCUAUUUUUACAUCAAACUAUGGGAUUUCAUUCACACUAAACACUAAACAUUAUAAUUAUAAUUAUGAUUGAGUAUAUGUCAAAAUAUUACUCUCAUAUUAAAUAAUUAUUAUAUAUAUGAUUAUAUGUACUUUGAGCUCAUAUAAUUAUAUAGGUGAGAUGUAAGCAUUAUAAAGUGAAUAAUAUACAAGUAAUAUUGUAUUAUUAUGAUCUUUAAAAUAAAAAAUGUAAUGUGAUGCACGUUUUAGGUACGAGCUUACUAUAGAAAUAUUUAAAAUAAUACCCUCCUGGGGUAGUAUGCACGCANNNNNNNNNCUUGAAGGAAUUGACGGAAGGGCACCACAAGAACGCGUGGAGCAUGUGGCUUAAUUUGACUCAACCCGGGAAAUCUUACCAGGUCCAGACAUAUUGAGGAUUGACAGGCGAUAGUAUAUAAUUCAUUUAUAUGCAUAAAAAUGAUAGUCCUUUCAUGAUUAUAUGAUAGGUGGUGCAUGGCCGUUCUUAGUUCGUGGAGUGAUUUGUCUGCUUAAUUGCGUUUCAGUAAAUAAAAUAUAUAAUAUAUUAUAAUAUUUAGUUCUGCCUUGAAUAUUAUUCAAGGAUUUAAAGUGAACAUAUUAUAUAUAUUAUUAUAUAAUAAAUGAAUGC
Molecule: ribosomal RNA, 1687 nt
Filed under: Marginopora vertebralis
Lineage: Eukaryota; Foraminifera; Miliolida; Soritidae
Description: SSU rRNA
Rfam family: Eukaryotic small subunit ribosomal RNA
Source: RNAcentral